AGUGAACGCUGGCGGUAGGCCCAACACAUGCAAGUCGAACGGCAGCACAGUAAGAGCUUGCUCUUACGGGUGGCGAGUGGCGGACGGGUGAGGAAUACAUCGGAAUCUACUUUUUCGUGGGGGAUAACGUAGGGAAACUUACGCUAAUACCGCAUACGACCUACGGGUGAAAGCAGGGGAUCUUCGGACCUUGCGCGAUUGAAUGAGCCGAUGUCGGAUUAGCUAGUUGGCGGGGUAAAGGCCCACCAAGGCGACGAUCCGUAGCUGGUCUGAGAGGAUGAUCAGCCACACUGGAACUGAGACACGGUCCAGACUCCUACGGGAGGCAGCAGUGGGGAAUAUUGGGCAAUGGGCGCAAGCCUGAUCCAGCCAUACCGCGUGGGUGAAGAAGGCCUUCGGGUUGUAAAGCCCUUUUGUUGGGAAAGAAAAGCAGCAGGUUAAUACCCCGCUGUUCUGACGGUACCCAAAGAAUAAGCACCGGCUAACUUCGUG
RNAcentral lists this ribosomal RNA (492 nucleotides) under uncultured bacterium. Its description in RNAcentral is "partial 16S ribosomal RNA". It matches the Rfam family "Bacterial small subunit ribosomal RNA", at positions 29 to 507 of the family's 1533-position model. The record is from RNAcentral.